AUGCAAUGGUACAAGGAUGAUAAUUAUUCAACUUGGAAGAAAAUUCAUCGAAGCACGGAUAGUAACCGGAACACAUCGGGAGAAAAGGUAUAUAUUCAAAGAAUAGUCAUGUCACCAACUGAAUCAGCAUGGCCAUUUGUUCUAAAAAGGAGACAAUAUCCUACAUCAGUUUGCUUUGCUAUGACUAUCAACAAAAGCCAGGGCCAAUCUCUGAACAAGGUAGGACUAUAUCUACCUAAACAAGUUUUCACACAUGGACAAUUAUACGUAGCCUUCUCAAGAGUAACACAAAGGGAGGGACGGCAGGUAAUGGUAGAUGAUGAAGAUAGCAAUCAGGAUGAUGUGGUCAAGAAUAUAGUCUAUACAGAAAUAUUCUAA
This 378-nucleotide ribosomal RNA is filed under the name Triticum aestivum (bread wheat). RNAcentral describes it as "partial small subunit ribosomal RNA". The record is from RNAcentral. Lineage: Eukaryota; Viridiplantae; Streptophyta; Magnoliopsida; Poales; Poaceae.